CGUCCUAUUAGCUAGUUGGAGAGGUAAUGGCUCACCAAGGCUACGAUGGGUAGGGGUUCUUAGUGGAAGGUCCCCCACACUGGCACUGAGAUACGGGCCAGACUCCUACGGGAGGCAGCAGUAGGGAAUAUUGGUCAAUGGGCGCAAGCCUGAACCAGUCAUGCCGCGUGCAGGAUGAAGGCUCUAUGAGUUGUAAACUGCUUUUGUACAGGAGCAAAAAAAUCCCUGCGGGGGUUCUUGAGAGUACUGUAAGAAUAAGCACCGGCUAAUUCCGUGCCAGCAGCCGCGGUAAUACGGGAGGUGCAAGCGUUAUCCGGUUUUAUUGGGUUUAAAGGGUGCGUAGGCGGCUUAUUAAGUCAGUUGUGAAAUCCUAGUGCUUAACGCUAGAACUGCGAUUGAUACUAUU
Molecule: ribosomal RNA, 406 nt
Filed under: Cardinium endosymbiont of Tetragnathidae sp.
Lineage: Bacteria; Pseudomonadati; Bacteroidota; Cytophagia; Cytophagales; Amoebophilaceae
Description: bacterial SSU rRNA
Rfam family: Bacterial small subunit ribosomal RNA
Source: RNAcentral